GUUGAGAACACGGCUCUUUGUCUGUGUAAAUAUGCAUCGGGAGCACACAGGUAAAUGGGCGAGGACUGAGGACAAUCACUAAUUAUCAAUCACUAAAAUCGAUUCUACAACAUUCCAGAUGCCUUGCAUUCAAAACAUGUCUUAAAGAAGCACAACAGGUUAACAUCAUCCAAUUUGAAGGAAGAGAGUAUAUUUUAAAAAAAGCCCAAUCCCCACAGUUUAAACAAAGACACGCGUGUUGUCUUUCGAGGACUGACGACUCGGGGGACCCGGUGUUUGAGAAGUCAAUCCAACUUCUGGUUUUAAUAACUGCAUCUUUUUUAACAGCGAUAUACUAUACUCGUUCAGCUAAAAUAACUCAUUGUAACGUUGAAUAAGAACUGUAACCCACACGUAAUUGAGGCUAGUCGGCUAAUCUAGCAUAGGACGAACCAGGUUGUCUUUUUUUUUUAUUGGGUAUACUAGUGAAAGACAAUGUUUUUAUGUUCACACACAGUGGCUUCAGAUGUUAGUGGUAAUUAGAGCUUCAUGCUGCAAGAGGCUUCUUAAGUACUGCCAACACUGUGAUUAAUAAAGGAGCAGUUUUACAAUAUGACAUUCCAAUAAAUGCAGAAAUGGACAGGGGGAAAGUGGAGUGCUGUGAUGAACUGUUGGGACGUGGGUUUGACUUGGUACAGAAAUGAGAUCAUGAAAUAUUCAAUAUACAAUGUAUCAAUUAAAAGCUGACCUUUGACCCAGGGUGAGGAUGAAAUGAGACCACAUUAAAGUCGUGAGCAGGCGGUAAUCUCUGCUCAGUAACGAAGCAAAAUUCUCAAUUAUUUAUUUAUGUAUCAUUGGCGUUUGGACUGCAGAUAGUCCGACGCAGCAUUUUUAUGACUAACAACUCUCCCUUCCCCUUUUUAAUCCGUC
Long non-coding RNA from Gasterosteus aculeatus aculeatus (three-spined stickleback), 909 nucleotides. The record is from Ensembl. NCBI's taxonomy places the organism in Eukaryota, Metazoa, Chordata, Actinopteri, Perciformes, Gasterosteidae.